RNAcentral lists this ribosomal RNA (194 nucleotides) under uncultured bacterium. RNAcentral's name for it is "partial 16S ribosomal RNA". It matches the Rfam family "Bacterial small subunit ribosomal RNA", at positions 1307 to 1500 of the family's 1533-position model. The record is from RNAcentral.
GCAACUCGAGUGCAUGAAGCUGGAAUCGCUAGUAAUCGCGGAUCAGAAUGCCGCGGUGAAUACGUUCCCGGGUCUUGUACACACCGCCCGUCACACCAUGGGAGUCGGGAAUGCCCGAAGCCGGUGGCCCGAUCGAAAGAAGGGAGCCGUCGAAGGCAGGCCGGAUGACUGGGGUGAAGUCGUAACAAGGUAGC